This is a long non-coding RNA of Mangifera indica (mango), 402 nucleotides long. RefSeq lists it as uncharacterized. Lineage: Eukaryota; Viridiplantae; Streptophyta; Magnoliopsida; Sapindales; Anacardiaceae. The record is from RefSeq and is a predicted model, not a curated record. The transcript has 2 exons.
GUGGGUUGUUCGUACUUCCGGGCCCAAAACGGGGCAGGAUGUCGGGCAUGGGCAGUAGUUUGGGUCGUGUCAAGCUAACCCCAAAAAGCCAUUUGAAAACGUGCUCGGCUUCAAAGGUGUAGACUUUUACCAGCUGAGGUCUUCGCCCUUCAGAUCCGGAGAUCGAUGAUGGUUUGGAAACUGCCAAUCACUACAGGCAUCAUUAAGGAGGUGAAGGUUGCUAAAAUAAGCAAACUGGGCACUCCGAAGAUUUUGAAAAUUUUUCAAGUUUUCUGGUGAGUUUGAGGUUUUGCCGUGGCUGGCUUGAUUCUCGAUUGUUUUAAGGUAAGUUCAACAGUAUCUUUUCUUUAUCCUCGUCGGCGCUGAAAAAUUUGUUAUAAUAAUAUCUUUGGAUGUAAUUAG